Molecule: non-coding RNA, 26 nt
Filed under: Homo sapiens (human)
Lineage: Eukaryota; Metazoa; Chordata; Mammalia; Primates; Hominidae
Source: RNAcentral
UCAUUCCACACUUGGGGCCACUGAUG